This 253-nucleotide ribosomal RNA is filed under the name uncultured bacterium. Its description in RNAcentral is "partial 16S ribosomal RNA". It matches the Rfam family "Bacterial small subunit ribosomal RNA", at positions 524 to 776 of the family's 1533-position model. The record is from RNAcentral.
UACGUAGGGGGCAAGCGUUGUCCGGAAUCAUUGGGCGUAAAGCGCGUGUAGGCGGCCAGGUAAGUCCGUUCUGAAAGCCCGGGGCUCAACCCCGGGAGGCGGAUGGAUACUGCUUGGCUCGAGUCCGGAAGAGGCGAGUGGAAUUCCCGGUGUAGCGGUGAAAUGCGUAGAUAUCGAGAGGAACACCUGCGGCGAAGGCGGGUUGCUGGGCUGAUACUGACGCUGAGGCGCGAAAGCCAGGGGAGCGAACGGG